RNA transcript from Clupea harengus (Atlantic herring), 2466 nucleotides. RefSeq lists it as uncharacterized. The transcript has 2 exons. NCBI's taxonomy places the organism in Eukaryota, Metazoa, Chordata, Actinopteri, Clupeiformes, Clupeidae. The record is from RefSeq and is a predicted model, not a curated record.
CGGGUGGAAAGACUGUGGCAGUAUCCCACAGUGGAGAUAGUCUAGAGUAGGAGGGGAAGAAAAGAGACAAAGUGUGUGGACAGAGCUAAGCUGCCUUACACGUGUAUAUGUAAUUAUAGGUAUUGGUGAUGAGAAAUAAUGUUAUCACAGCCAUCACCAUUUGCAAGGGAGAGAGCGGAGAAAUGUUACAUAUAGAAUAUCAGAAAAUCAGUCACAUACACAAAAAAAUAUAUUAUCAGUAUUAUCUGUACGGACAUAAUGGCAGAGGCCAAUGUUAAUUAUGAAAGAAUGAAAGGAAGGAUGUAACCUACCUUUUAUGCCCGCGCUUAGUGUUUGUAUGAGCCGUUGAAAUAAAUUGCAUUUUAUAAGUGUAGGAAUGCGGCCAUCAAAUCCUGCUUACUAAACAGGCCUAUUCUGGUGUGUUCUUCUGUUCCAACUGGCUGAAUGUGAUACAUUUUUGUGUUUGUAGUCCCGAACUGCAUACUACAAAAAUCUAACCGCAGUUUAAGCGAACACAACGUUAGCUAGCAUGUCAAACAGGGCUAAUCAGAGUCUUUCCACGGCUCCGGGGCUAUUAAAUCAGCAGGAGAAUGUAAAAUCGCACAUCUGGCUGAUACAACUAUAAAAUAGCAAGGUGACCAGUAAAACUACAGCAGAUGACUACCCUUGGCUAAUUAAAAAAAUAAACUUACUUUAAGAUGCUUCUUCAGGUUGGAGGUGGAGUCUUUGGACCCUGAAAGGAGGUUGGUUGCGGUCAAGCAGAGGUUGCACUGCACAGUUAUAUUACGUUCUCCCUUCUCUUUCUUUAACAUGAAAUGCUGUUAGAAUUUCCAGGAUAGAAAAGCAUUCCUGCCCUGGCUCUGUUGUGCCGGCUCUGGCACCUGCUCCUCUUCCGACUCCAUUAGCAGCUACUGAUCACGCAAAUAGCUAAUUUUCAUUCGUUUUCAUGUUGGGGAUUCUGGGAAAUGCAUCAAGUUGCCUUAAUUUAUUUAGAGAGUGAAUAAACUUGUGAAACAGAGAAGUACCGUCAUGUAAUCCAUUGAUUUCAACAAUGUAACUGUAUUCUGAAUACCAUCUAUUUAAAUUGUAACUGUAACGGAAUACAGUUUUUUGUAUUCUAAAUACGUAAUGCCGGUACAUGUAUUCCGUUACUCCCCAACACUGUGCACAAUAUACAUGUAACUUGAUACUUAGGAAACUUGAUACACUCGAUCACUACAACAUUAUUUAGAUGUAUUCCAAAUAUCAUCUAUAGGGGGCACUAUAACUGGCUCAUUUCAAGAAUCGUUUCAUGUAAAAAUGUGAAUACAUGCAAACAUAGCUGUUUGUUUGUUUUUUGUUUGUUUUUGUAGAAUAAAUGGGCAGAAACCAUCUACAUUAAGGGUUGCAUGACGGCUCUGGAGGACUGGCUACCACGGAAUAUUUACAUCGUAGCUGGAGUCUUCAUGGUCAUCUCACUGCUACAGAUGGUGGGCAUAUACCUGUCACGGACUUUGAUUGGAGACAUUGAGAAGGUCAAGUUGAGCUCUGAGCACUGAGGUCUCUCGUGGAUGAGAGGUCAAGUUGAGCUCUUACUGAGGUCUCUCAAGUGGAUGAGGAGGACAACAUUAAGGCCAUGGGACUGGGCAAGGCUUGCCUCAAAUACCCUCAUCUUGACAAUUUCAAUAUGUGCCCUUUUCAUGAAUGUAGAAGAGGGAUGAAGGCACCACCAAGGAGUUGUCUGGCUUUUGUCUGGCUUCGGUGUUACCAUGCAUUCAUAUUUUUUACAUCAUGUUGGGUUUUUAGAUUCUUUUACAAAUGAGACUUGCUGACACCAAGGAUUCCAUUCACAGACUUUCACUUUGAACUGUGUACAUAAUUGUCUGUUAUUUUUGUGAAAACACCUUUACAUAUUUUUUCAGUCAAAUUUCAGUCCAGUAUUUUGCCUUAUUUUAAGGCAAAAUCACAAAACAGUUUGAAUAUUCUCUAUUUUUGGAUGUUCAGGCAACCUAAACAUAAGUUUACAAGCCUCCUUAAUUAAUUAAAACUAUGGAAGCUAAGAUUUUUUCCCCAACAUUUUUUGUAUCAACUGUAGCUUUGCAAGGCAUAGCAUAACUUUAGACAGUGAAAUAUGACUUUGAACUGGUUACAUCUGUCCUGCUGUAAAUCCACAUACUGUUUCCUCCACCACUAAUGGCAACCCUGGUAAAGAUGAGUGAAAGGGCAAUACAAAUGUCACCUUUUUGGUGAUUCUGACUGUUGAAAGUUGAGAAAAAUCCUUCAUCAAGAAAAAAUUCAAUUGAAUAAAACCAUAUCUUGCUCAACUUUACGAGGGGUUCCAAUAAUUGUGGAAGUGACCAUUUUGUACUUCUGUAUUACCAUGUGCCUUUAAAAAAACAUAUUAGGGACUGAGCUUUUAUACCUUUGACAUUUUACAAGAGUUUUACAAAUGAAAAAAAAAAUAAAGUUUGCUCUCCUGUUUUCUAA